CGGAUCCUGGGCAGGUUGGCUGGGUCGGGCUGCCCGGGCGACGCCGGAGUUGCAGUUGGAGGCUGCGGGAAUACAAAGUGACACUGACUGCCGGGUAACUGUCUCUCAGGACAUUUGUGCUUUGAGUCUCUGCAACUCUGGACCAUCUCUGCAGGCUAAAAGAUGUGCCUGUUGCUAAGAGGAGGAGCCCUGCAGCAGGAAUCCGGUGCCAGCUGACCUGGAACAACCUGAUCUCCAGAAAGCAUCCCUGUUAUACUCAAAUGGGCCUUCCAGAUGAGCCCUGGAUCCAGCCUUUCUUUGACUAUGAACCUAAACGUAAGAAAGAGAAGUUUCUUGACUCCCUAAAAACGAGUCAUAAUGCUUUCUGAAACUGAGUCUCUUCUGCUUCUGGAAACUGAGUCUUAGUGCAAAGAAAUCCCUCUGUAUUUUCUUGAUUUCCAUCUUGAUUCUCUAUUUUAAAGAUAAAAUAGCUGUUGCUUUGUGUCUGUGUAGAGUGUGGCAAAAAGAGAGGAAACAGAAAAAGAUAAAAGGACCAUCUCUCUCACUUUUAAAAUCUCUUUUCCUUAAGGUAUCCUUGAAUAUCUCUCUUCAUUAUGCCCUAAAACAUUUUCCCUGCAAUUGAUGCUAUCCAGCCAGUGUUUUUUUAGUAGCACCUAUAAUUCAAAUGCAUAUAAUCCAGAAUCCAGCCCUAACUUCACACCUGAGUUUCUAGACCAACUAAACAUCCCACAGGUACUUCAGGCUCACUAGAUCCAAGUCUAACUCAUUAUCUUUGUACCAAAACAGUAUUUUUUAAUUAAAAUUUUAAAAAAAAUAAUUAUAAAUAAAAAACACUGGCUCUAUUGGAACUGAGCCUGGCUAAUGACAUUGUCUUUUCCCACUCACCCAAACUAGGCAUUUAAAAAUCAAACUUGACUCCCCCACUCUGACUCUAUGCCAAUUCUAUCAGUCGCUGAGUCACUGUUUGACCCUACUCCAAGCUUUCCAAUCUUCUCAGGAACCAUGCUGAUAUCAAGACUGUGUCCUGUGGAAUAUCUAAUAUAUGUGACACCCGGAGGAGUCAUUUUUUAACACCUCCCUUCUCUAUACAACAAAAUUAUUUUCAAUAAUGGCCAUGAGUAUGAUGAUAAUUAUGUCUUUAUAAUACGUGUAAUUGACAAUAUCAUACAUAAUUAUGGAUUAUAUAUAUACACAAAUAAUGCUCAGAAAAACAAAGCAGUGAAAAUGUUCUAUUAAACUAUGUAUAAUCUUAUAUAUAAUUAUAUAAGUUUCUAAAAUAAAAGGAAAUGCCUACAACUAUUUUUUAUUAAUUUUUAUAUCCACCUAAAUGGCUGAACUUUGAUCCUUUGGUUACAGUCUGAUAUAUUAAUAUUUACGUAAAUGACAGUCCAAUAACUAGGUUUAAAUAAAACUAAAAUGUCUGCAGAAGUAUAGUUUAGGCAAUUACAUUUUAAAUUUUUUUAAAUGAGAUGGACUCUUGCUAUGAUGCGCAGGCUGAUCUCAAACUCCUGAG
This 1513-nucleotide long non-coding RNA is filed under the name Homo sapiens (human). RNAcentral's name for it is "HSALNT0353097". The record is from RNAcentral. Lineage: Eukaryota; Metazoa; Chordata; Mammalia; Primates; Hominidae.